CCUACGGGGGGCAGCAGUGAGGAAUAUUGGUCAAUGGACGAGAGUCUGAACCAGCCAAGUAGCGUGAAGGAUGACUGCCCUAUGGGUUGUAAACUUCUUUUAUAUGGGAAUAAAAUGUUCCACGUGUGGGAUUUUGUAUGUACCAUAUGAAUAAGGAUCGGCUAACUCCGUGCCAGCAGCCGCGGUAAUACGGAGGAUCCGAGCGUUAUCCGGAUUUAUUGGGUUUAAAGGGAGCGUAGGUGGAUUGUUAAGUCAGUUGUGAAAGUUUGCGGCUCAACCGUAAAAUUGCAGUUGAAACUGGCAGUCUUGAGUACAGUAGAGGUGGGCGGAAUUCGUGGUGUAGCGGUGAAAUGCUUAGAUAUCAGGAAGAACUCCGAUUGCGAAGGCAGUUCACUGGACUGCAACUGACACUGAGGCUCGAAAGUGUGGGUAUCAAACAGGAUUAGAUACCCGUGUAGUC
RNAcentral lists this ribosomal RNA (460 nucleotides) under uncultured bacterium. RNAcentral's name for it is "partial 16S ribosomal RNA". It matches the Rfam family "Bacterial small subunit ribosomal RNA", at positions 338 to 795 of the family's 1533-position model. The record is from RNAcentral.